Non-coding RNA from Podarcis lilfordi (Lilford's wall lizard), 77 nucleotides. The record is from the annotation of a GenBank genome assembly. Lineage: Eukaryota; Metazoa; Chordata; Lepidosauria; Squamata; Lacertidae.
GGAAAAGCUGUAGCUCAAUGGUAGAAAGCAUCUGCUUUGUAUACAGAAGGUCCCCGGUUCAAUCCCCAGCAGCUCCC